This 468-nucleotide ribosomal RNA is filed under the name uncultured bacterium. RNAcentral's name for it is "partial 16S ribosomal RNA". It matches the Rfam family "Bacterial small subunit ribosomal RNA", at positions 28 to 507 of the family's 1533-position model. The record is from RNAcentral.
GACGAACGCUGGCGGCGUGCUUAACACAUGCAAGUCGAACGGAAAGGCCCUGCUUUUGUGGGGUGCUCGAGUGGCGAACGGGUGAGUAACACGUGAGUAACCUGCCCUUGACUUUGGGAUAACUUCAGGAAACUGGGGCUAAUACCGGAUAGGAGCUCCUGCUGCAUGGUGGGGGUUGGAAAGUUUCGGCGGUUGGGGAUGGACUCGCGGCUUAUCAGCUUGUUGGUGGGGUAGUGGCUUACCAAGGCUUUGACGGGUAGCCGGCCUGAGAGGGUGACCGGCCACAUUGGGACUGCGAGACGGCGCAGACUCCUAAGGGAGGCAGCAGUGGGGAAUAUUGAACAAUGGGCGGACGCCUGAUGCAGCAACGCCGCGUGCGGGAUGACGGCUUUCGGGUUGUAAACCGCUUUCGCCUGUGACGAGGCGUGAGUGACGGUAAUGGGUAAAGAAGCACCGGCUAACUACGUG